UUUCCGUAGGUGAACCAGCGGAAGGAUCAUUAUUGGAUUUUGAAACUUCAGGCUGCUGCUGGCUCUCCUCGGAGGGCAUGUGCACGCUUGUUGUCCAUUAUUUCUCCCACUGUGCACAAAUUGUAGACCUUUCAGUAGGCCUAUGUUGUUUUUCACAAUCUCUGAAUGUAAUAGAAUGGUUUUGAAUCUUGGGAAAUACAAUACAACUUUCAGCAACGGAUCUCUUGGCUCUC
This 233-nucleotide unclassified non-coding RNA is filed under the name plant metagenome. Its description in RNAcentral is "partial contains small subunit ribosomal RNA, internal transcribed spacer 1, and 5.8S ribosomal RNA". The record is from RNAcentral.